UUGGAGGGCAAGUCUGGUGCCAGCAGCCGCGGUAAUUCCAGCUCCAAUAGCGUAUAUUAAAGUUGUUGCAGUUAAAAAGCUCGUAGUUGAAUUUCGGGGUUCAUCCGUUGGUCGGGCUUUUUUGGUCUGUACUGGCGUGAUGGAUUCCUACCUUCUGAAUAACCAGCAUGUCAUUAAUUUGGUGCGCUGGGGAAGCAGGACUGUUACCUUGAAAAAAUUAGAGUGCUUAAAGCAGGCUAUCGCCUGAAUACAUUAGCAUGGAAUAAUGAAAUAGGACGGCAUGGUUCUAUUUUGUUGGUUUCUAGGAUCACCGUAAUGAUUAAUAGGGAUAGUUGGGGGCAUUAGUACUCAAUUGUCAGAGGUGAGAUUCUUGGAUUUAUUGAAGACUAACUUCUGCGAAAGCAUUUGCCAAGGAUGUUUUCAUUAAUCAAGAACGAAAGUUAGGGGAUCGAAGACGAUCAGAUACCGUCGUAGUCUUAACCAUAAACUAUGCCGACUAGGGAUCGGACGAUGUUAAUUUUUUAAUGACUCGUUCGGCGCCUUACGGGAAAC
RNAcentral lists this ribosomal RNA (552 nucleotides) under uncultured Acaulospora. RNAcentral's name for it is "SSU rRNA". It matches the Rfam family "Eukaryotic small subunit ribosomal RNA", at positions 548 to 1098 of the family's 1831-position model. The record is from RNAcentral. Lineage: Eukaryota; Fungi; Glomeromycota; Glomeromycetes; Diversisporales; Acaulosporaceae.